UACGGAGGGUGCAAACGUUGCUCGGAAUCAUUGGGCGUAAAGCGCACGUAGGCGGCCUGUUAUGUCGGAUGUGAAAGCCCUUGGCUUAACCGAGGAAGUGCAUCCGAAACUGGCGAGCUAGAGUACGAAAGAGGAUCGCGGAAUUCCCGGUGUAGAGGUGAAAUUCGUAGAUAUCGGGAGGAACACCGGUGGCGAAGGCGGCGAUCUGGGUCGAUACUGACGCUGAGGUGCGAAAGCGUGGGGAGCAAACAGG
This 253-nucleotide ribosomal RNA is filed under the name uncultured bacterium. RNAcentral's name for it is "partial 16S ribosomal RNA". It matches the Rfam family "Bacterial small subunit ribosomal RNA", at positions 524 to 776 of the family's 1533-position model. The record is from RNAcentral.